AUGUAUUACCAUCAUCAUACUCACUCCUCACUAUUACCAUCAUCAUACUCACUCCUCACUAUUACCAUCAUCAUACUCACUCCAUAUGUAUUACCAUCACCAUACUCACUCCUCACUAAUACCAUCAUCAUACUCACUCCUCACUAUUACCAUCAUCAUACUCACUCCUCAUGUAUUACCAUCAUCAUACUCACUCCUCACGUAUUACCAUCACCAUACUCACUCCUCACUAUUACCAUCAUCAUACUCACUCCUCACGUAUUACCAUCAUCAUACUCACUCCUCACUAUUACCAUCAUCAUACUCACUCCUCACUAUUACCAUCAUCAUACUCACUCCUCACUAUUACCAUCAUCAUACUCACUCCUCACGUAUUACCAUCAUCAUACUCACUCCUCACUAUUACCAUCAUCAUACUCACUCCUCACUAAUACCAUCAUCAUACUCACUCCUCACUAUUACCAUCAUCAUACUCACUCCUCACUAAUACCAUCAUCAUACUCACUCCUCACUAUUACCAUCAUCAUACUCACUCCUCACUAUUACCAUCGUCAUACUCACUCCUCAUGUAUUACCAUCACCAUACUCACUCCUCACUAUUACCAUCAUCAUACUCACUCCUCACUAUUACCAUCAUCAUACUCACUCCUCAUGUAUUACCAUCAUCAUACUCACUCCUCAUGUAUUACCAUCAUCAUACUCACUCCUCAUGUAUUACCAUCAUCAUACUCACUCCUCACUAUUACCAUCAUCAUACUCACUCCAAAUGUAUUACCAUCAUCAUACUCACUCCUCACUAUUACCAUCAUCAUAUUCACUCCUCACUAUUACCAUCAUCAUACUCACUCCUCACUAUUACCAUCAUCAUACUCACUCCUCACUAUUACUAUCGUCAUACUCACUCCUCAUGUAUUACCAUCACCAUACUCACUCCUCACUAUUACCAUCAUCAUACUCACUCCUCACGUAUUACCAUCACCAUACUCACUCCUCAUGUAUUACCAUCAUCAUACUCACUCCUCAUGUAUUACCAUCAUCAUACUCACUCCUCACUAUUACCAUCAUCAUACUCACUCCUCACUAUUACCAUCAUCAUACUCACUCCUCACUAUUACCAUCAUCAUACUCACUCCUCACUAUUACCAUCAUCAUACUCACUCCUCAUGUAUUACCAUCAUCAUACUCACUCCUCACUAUUACCAUCAUCAUACUCACUCCUCACUAUUACCAUCAUCAUACUCACUCCUCACUAAUACCAUCAUCAUACUCACUCCUCACGUAUUACCAUCAUCAUACUCACUCCUCACGUAUUACCAUCACCAUACUCACUCCUCACUAAUACCAUCAUCAUACUCACUCCUCAUGUAUUACCAUCACCAUACUCACUCCUCACUAUUACCAUCAUCAUACUCACUCCUCAUGUAUUACCAUCAUCAUACUCACUCCUCAUGUAUUACCAUCAUCAUACUCACUCCUCACUAUUACCAUCAUCAUACUCACUCCUCACUAUUACCAUCAUCAUACUCACUCCAUAUGUAUUACCAUCACCAUACUCACUCCUCACUAAUACCAUCAUCAUACUCACUCCUCACUAUUACCAUAGUCAUACUCACUCCUCAUGUAUUACCAUCAUCAUACUCACUCCUCAUGUAUUACCAUCAUCAUACUCACUCCUCACUAUUACCAUCAUCAUACUCACUCCUCAUGUAUUACCAUCAUCAUACUCACUCCUCACUAUUACCAUCAUCAUACUCACUCCUCACUAUUACCAUCAUCAUACUCACUCCUCAUGUAUUACCAUCAUCGUACUCACUCCUCACUAUUACCAUCAUCAUACUCACUCCUCAUGUAUUACCAUCAUCAUACUCACUCCUCACUAUUACCAUCAUCAUACUCACUCCUCAUGUAUUACCAUCAUCAUACUCACUCCUCACUAAUACCAUCAUCAUACUCACUCCUCACUAUUAA
Oncorhynchus mykiss (rainbow trout) is the source of this 1968-nucleotide long non-coding RNA. The record is from Ensembl. NCBI's taxonomy places the organism in Eukaryota, Metazoa, Chordata, Actinopteri, Salmoniformes, Salmonidae.